This 230-nucleotide ribosomal RNA is filed under the name uncultured bacterium. RNAcentral describes it as "partial 16S ribosomal RNA". It matches the Rfam family "Bacterial small subunit ribosomal RNA", at positions 15 to 232 of the family's 1533-position model. The record is from RNAcentral.
GAUCCUGGCUCAGGAUGAACGCUAGCUACAGGCUUAACACAUGCAAGUCGGAGGGGCAGCAUGGUCUUAGCUUGCUAAGGCCGAUGGCGACCGGCGCACGGUGAGUAACACGUAUCCAACCUGCCCGUCUACUCGUUGGACAGCCUUCUGAAAGGAAGAUUAAUACAAGAUGGCAUCAUGAGUCCACAUGUUUCACAUGAUUAAAGGGUAUUCCGGUAGACGAUGGGGUA